Molecule: ribosomal RNA, 91 nt
Filed under: Melampodium nayaritense
Lineage: Eukaryota; Viridiplantae; Streptophyta; Magnoliopsida; Asterales; Asteraceae
Description: partial 18S ribosomal RNA
Rfam family: Eukaryotic small subunit ribosomal RNA
Source: RNAcentral
GACGUCGCGAGAAUUCCACUGAACCUUAUCAUUUAGAGGAAGGAGAAGUCGUAACAAGGUCUCCGUAGGUGAACCUGCGGAAGGAUCAUUG